This 3985-nucleotide long non-coding RNA is filed under the name Gallus gallus (chicken). RNAcentral describes it as "lncRNA (ENSGALG00010007621.1)". The record is from RNAcentral. Lineage: Eukaryota; Metazoa; Chordata; Aves; Galliformes; Phasianidae.
GGGGGGAUGAGGGCACGGAAGGGAUGGGCACUGAGAUGGGAGGAUGGGGCACGGAGGGGUGGGCACUGAGAUGGGGGGAUGUGGACAUGGAAGGGAUGGGCAUUGAGAUGGGGGGAUGAGGGCAUGGAAGGGAUGGGCACUGAGAUGGGGGGGUGAGGGCAUGGAAGGGAUGGGCAUUGAGAUGGGGGGAUGGGGCAUGGAGGGGUGGGCACUGAGAUGGGGGGACGUGGGCAUGGAAGGGAUGAGUGUUGGGGGGGGUGAAGGCAUGGAAGGGAUGGGAAUUGAGAUGGGGGGAUGGGGCAUGGAGGGGUGGGCACUGAGAUGGGGGGUGAGGGCACGGAAGGGAUGGGCAUUGAGAUGGUUGGGUGAGGGCAUGGAAGGGAUGGGCACUGAGAUGGGGGGACGUGCACAUGGAAGGGAUGGGCACUGAGGAGGUGCUGUGCUGGAAGCAGGGCUUGGCGCAGACCCGAGCAGCCGCGGGGAGGGGGCGGUGGCACAGCCACGGUUGGGUGUCGCCUUCUUUUGUGUUCUCCUGACUGGGACGAGCCGUGGUGCCGCAGGGCCGUGCCCCGCGGUCACGCAGUGUUGUCCAACACAGGUACGGCUGCAGCUGCUUGGCACGGUGGGAGCUGGGGGGCACACGGCGGCGCGGGCGCCAGGCAGAACUGUGUGCCCACCGUCCAUCUCCAGGCCCGGGGGGAGGACGGGGCAGCAGGAGGGUAAGGAAGGCUCUUUGGAAAUGGCAAGAAGGCGUUCAGCUUCCCGGUCCCAGACCGAACGUCCUGCAGAAUAGUUUCGCUCUGCAGUCUUCUGGCCCCUCGCGGAGAGGGGCGGCUGCAGGCGGGGGUCUCUGGGGGUCGCCCCAGAAGCAGCUGCGGAAGGGGCAGAGACCCGAACUCCUCGGACGGGGCCGGAGGAGCUGCCUGCACUCAGGGCAACACGGAACACUCCAACCUGUGCACCGAGCAGCGGGGGCUCAGGGCUGUGCCGGGGGGGUGCCGGGCAGCGGGACUGCGCUGCUCCCUGGGGUGGGGGCUGCCGGGGUCUGCGUUACCUGCAGGAGUGGGGAGAAGGGAAAUGGGGAUGGGGUUGGGAAUGGGGAUAAGGAUGGGGAUGGGGAUGGGAAUAGGGAUGGGAAUUGGAAUAGGGAUGGAGAUGGGGAUGGGGAUGGGAAUGUGGACAGGGAUCGGAAUGGGGAUGGAAAUAGGGAUGGGAAUAGGGAUGGAGAUGAUGGAAUAGGGAUGGAGAUGGGGAUGGGGAUGGGAAUGUGGACAGGGAUCUGAAUGGGGAUGGGAAUAGGGAUGGGAAUUGGAAUAGGGAUGGAGAUGGGAAUGGGGAUGGGAAUGUGGACAGGGAUCAGAAUGGGGAUGGAAAUAGGGAUGGGAAUAGGGAUGGAGAUGAUGGAAUAGGGAUGGAGAUGGGGAUGGGGAUGGGGAUGUGGACAGGGAUCGGAAUGGGGAUGGAAAUAGGGAUGGGAAUAGGGAUGGAGAUGAUGGAAUAGGGAUGGAGAUAGGGAUAGGGAUGGGAAUGUGGACAGGGAUCGGAAUGGGGAUGGAAAUAGGGAUGGGAAUAGGGAUGGAGAUGAUGGAAUAGGGAUGGAGAUGGGGAUGGGGAUGGAGGAGGUGGGAGCAGGGUGCAGGUGCCGGGCUGCAGAACCAAGCUGGGCAGCCUCGGCUGAACCUGCAGAGGUGCAGGGGUUUGCAGCACGACGAGCUGCGGCACGCAGGACAGCGCAUGAGUGACAGGUGUGGGACAUGCAGCAGGAGAGCACAGCGUGGGGCGCGCGGCCGAUGGAGCAACAGCACAGAAGCCCCACGGCGUUCCCGCAGGAAGCCCCAUGGGCAUUCCCACAGCACAGCGGGGCGGCCCUGCAGAAGCAGCGCGAGGGGCGGAAGGGUGGGUGGGUGGUCUGCAGAAAUCCCAGUGCUCUGCAGGGUUUGUGGCAGUCUGCAGGGCACAGGGCUGCGGCCAUGCAGCGAUGCAGAGCGCCCACAGGACGCGGCCGUGCCGCCUCGCCAGGCGUGGGCUGAUGGAACAGAAGCAGCACGAAGGAAGGUUGGGGUUGUGGGGAACACACUUGGCUCCCACACGGCUCCGAGAUCCGGGCACUGCAGAGCAGCAGGCGAGGACGAGAUGCACGCAGAGCACGGGGGACUGCAGAGCAGCAGUGGCUGCCGCACGUCUGAGGUGCAGGACCGCCUCUGUGCGUGAGCAUGCGAGAAAGUCUGGUAACCAGAGGGCGCUCACUCAUGCCAGGGUGGGCACAGGGGGUGCAAUGUGGGUGACGGGGGGCUGCGGGGAGCUGAGGAUGAAGGGUGGGGGCAAUGAGAUGCUUGUGUCAGAAUGCAGAGAGACCAUGAGGAGGGACUGGGGAGCGUGGCGGGGUACGGGGGGCGAUGGGAGCGCGGUGGUGGGGCUGGAUGGGACCAGAGGUGGUAACAGCACAGGGUGGGAUGUGGGCACACGGCAGCGCAGCAUCGGCACACACAGGAGGAUGGGCGCAGCAGCAAAGCCGGCCAGCAAGGAGGCGGCCUCGGGUGGACGCGAUGGCUGCAGCCAAAGCUGGGACGCCUCCCGGCUCCCCCGGUAUUGGGCGGGAGGCCCGGAGCACCCUGGGUAUCUACAGCGGGAUUUUUGCUUGCAGAAUAAGAAGGUACAGGUUGGGAGCCCCUUGCCUUCCCCAUGCAAGCGCUGGGGCGUCGCACGGGGAGGGAAGAAGCGCUGUGGAUACACAGAAUUCAGUGGUUUCCGGAGAGCUCUGGAUGGAGCCGCACGGGCCGAGAGCUCAGGGUAAGGAGACAGCACCGCAGCCGCCGGGGCCCAAACGAGGGGCUCAGCCGGGGGCCGCGCACAGGGGAAGGGGCCGCAGCCCCAGCCCUGGGCCUUCCACUGGCUGAAGGUUGUAAAGGUUCGUAGAUGUGUGAGGGUCAGAAGGAACCUCCUUGUCCUUCCCUCUAGCACCAGAAGAGUUAAUGCCUUCACGGGGGACUCGGCUUUUGGGGAACACCGGUCACCAAGCCGUCCCCUGGCCACCCCUGAGCCUGGGCGCGCGAUGCCGGCGAGGGGAGCGCAUGGGGUGCGGGAACGGGAGCGGGGCUGCUGCCCCCCAGCACCGGGGCCGCUCCAGGCCGUGGGUCUGCGGGCUCCCCGGCACCGGAGGGAGAGCAGCGCCCGGGGAGCGGGGCCUGGAAGCUCUCCACCUCCAUGCGGCUGCCUCUCUGCCUGCGGGGAUGGAAGACGUGGUGUGUCCCAAAAACCGAGCGGAUUCGUUGCUUCGUGUUUCUAAAUCUUUAAAAUCCGGAGCGUCUGAAAGGAGCUGUUGGGUUUUUUUUUUUUUUUAAGGUUUUUUUUCUUAAAAAGGCUCUUUUUUUUUUUUUUUCUUUUUUUUUUUUCUUUUUUUUUCUUUUUUUUUUUUAACAUUCAUUCAGUCAGUCGCUAAAAAGUCCCACGAGCGAUGGGCAUCCUGGGGGAGGGGUGCGGGCACCGCCUCGUCAGCAUCUCAACACGUCUAGAGAUAAAUAGAUUUAGUAAAACUAUAACAAAAUCGGGUGGCUAUAGCUAUAGAUAUAGAUAUAUAGAUAUCUGUUCUCUCUUUCCAAAUAUAUAGCUGAUCGAUUGAUUAAAAAGAUGCAAAAUAAGGAUGGCAAGGACAGAGUGGGAAUCCUGUAGGUCAGAAUCGUCUCUUGUAGAUCAUCAGCUGCUCUCUAUAUAAAUGCACGGAGAUUAAAUAUUACCCAUCAACGCGUCCCCUUGGAAACAAGACCCCAAACCAAGAGGAAACCAAACACCUCCCCCCACCCCCCACCCUCACCGUUGGCAAAGCGUUUGCUGCUGGGUCCCCACCAGCCUCCCUCGACACCCCCCAAACAUGCUUCAAUCCAUGCGGUUUCGGUCCCUCUCCUCUCUCGCACGGCUCCGGUCUGCCGGGAGAGCCGGACGAGGGGCUGCGGGGCGAGGAGCGGGGCGGGAGCGGGGCGGCCCCCCC